This 234-nucleotide non-coding RNA is filed under the name Bacillus sp. (in: firmicutes). Its description in RNAcentral is "Bacillus sp. T-box sequence". It matches the Rfam family "T-box leader". From Rfam's summary of the family: Uncharged tRNA acts as the effector for transcription antitermination of genes in the T-box leader family. T-boxes are found upstream of many aminoacyl-tRNA synthetase genes and some amino acid biosynthetic genes usually in Gram-positive bacteria. Lineage: Bacteria; Bacillati; Bacillota; Bacilli; Caryophanales; Bacillaceae. The record is from RNAcentral.
CUAAAAGCAAAGACAGGGAAAAGUACAAUGACCCGCAUGCUUUCCAGAGAGGGAGACUUACCAGCUGAAAGGUUUCCCAGGCUGCCCAUUGGAAACGUCACCCUCGAGCUUCUUCUGCCAACGGCCAGUGCCCAGUAGUGGAAGACGGAUCAACUCCGUUAAAAACAUGAGAGCCGGCUCUUUUUUAUGCCGGAAAAAAGGUGGUACCGCGAGCGAACUCCAUUCGUCCUUUUA